RNA transcript from Argentina anserina (silverweed cinquefoil), 3213 nucleotides. RefSeq lists it as uncharacterized. The record is from RefSeq and is a predicted model, not a curated record. The transcript has 6 exons. NCBI's taxonomy places the organism in Eukaryota, Viridiplantae, Streptophyta, Magnoliopsida, Rosales, Rosaceae.
UUUGCAUUGCGUGGACUUUGCUACAGUCGAUGCCAUAGACACUGCUCAACUUCUCUCUACUGACGCCUGCAACUCCUUUUCCGUCAAACUCAAACUGUUCAAAGCUACUCAAAGAGUGAAUCUUCAUGUUCGAUCUCCACAAGAUUUGGGUUUGUUGGUAAAUAAUGGAGGAAAAUGAAAAGGAUUGCGGAAGUUAAACAUUGAUCUUGUUAUGUUUGAUUGAUAAGAGAAUGAGGAAGAUGAAGGAGUGGUUUAUAAAGUGUUAUUCUAAGUUGAUUAUGAGGAUCCAAAGGUUUUAGCUUUUUUAUGCUCUUGCUUUCUGAGAGGAACCAGAUUGAAGACUAGGAUUGUGUUGUUGACUGUGGAAGGAUGGAUGGUUCAGGUUUGGGGGCUGGAUUUUUGUCUGGUCCCAGUGGGACACUAGACCUUGAAUCUUCGAUUCCCAGACACCAGGAGAAGCAAUUGGGUCAUCCAGUGUUGGCACUUCAUCAACAUCAUAGAAAUGUGAUGAGUGGCGUUGGAGUAGAUCACCGCCCUGUAGGGCUUGUAGAGGUGAAAGGGUCGAUAGGAAGAGGUGCUUCGAUGAAUAUUGCCAAAGGGAAGGCAGUUGUGCCUUUUAGUCCCAGUAAUGCUUACAAUUUGAGUGAAGAAGAUGAGCCAAGUUAUACUGAAGAUGGGAAUGGUGAUAAUGGUGAAGGAGCCAAAGGUAAAAAGGGAUCCACAUGGCAGCGAAUGAAAUGGACAGAUAGAGUGGUUAGGCUUCUUAUAUCAGUGGUUGCUCUUGUGGGUGAUGAUGGUGUUGAAGGUGGUGAAGGCCUCAAGAGGAAAUCUGCAGCUUUACAGAAAAAGGGUAAGUGGAAGACUGUGUCAAAGAUAAUGAUGAGUAAAGGUUGUCAUGUAUCACCUCAGCAGUGUGAGGACAAGUUUAAUGAUUUGAACAAGAGGUAUAAGAGGUUAAAUGAUAUUCUUGGGAGGGGAACUAGUUGUAGAGUGGUGGAGAAUCCUACCCUUAUGGACUCAAUGCCCCAUCUCUCUGCCAAGGCGAAGGAUGAUGUUAGAAAGAUAUUGAGCUCAAAACAGUUGUUUUAUAAAGAAAUGUGUGCUUAUCAUAAUGGACAGUGGAUACCUGGUUGUCAUGAACUUGACCUCCAUGGUCAGCCUUUACCUCCCGGGAGAUGCUCAACAGACAAUAAUGUCUCCGAAGAAGAAGUGGUUGAAGAACACCAUGACACCGAGGAUGAUGAAUCAGAUGAUGAAGAUGCCAGUGGCAGUGAUAGGGAUCGGAUGGGUAGAAUGGGCAAGAGGUCUAGUGAAGAGGAUGACCAACUCUGGCAACAUGUUUCUCUGGAUACUUUUGAAGUUGAAAUGGCUGAGGCUCUUCAGGACCCGACAAAAUCUCUAUGGGAGCGAAGAGAGUGGAUCAACAAACAGAAGUUGCGACUCCAACAGCAAAGAGUCAGCUGCGAGGCUGAAGAUUUGGAGCUUGAGAAGCAGAGGUAUAAAUGGCUAAGGUACCGUUGCAAGAAAGAUAGGGAACUGGAGAGGUUGAGGCUGGAGAAUGAGAGAAUGAAAUUAGAGAAUGAGAAAAGGGUACUGCAACUGAGACAGAAAGAACUUGAAAUAGAUGUGAGGAGGUCAAAAGCUUCUGCAGAACCUUCUGUUGGUAUUGACAGAUUGUUAGGAAGAGAUCUCGACUUGGGCAAACAUCAAUAGCCUCCAAUCAUGCUUGACAUUCGGCAACCCUGCUAGAACUAUUCAAGCACAAAGCUUAUAGAGGCGCGUUAAUCUUGUUUCUAUGUAUGUGAAUUUCCUAUGAUGGAGUAUGUUGUUAUUUUCUGAGAAAUGAAUUAAUAUUGCAUAUGAAGGACCAUUAUACUCCUGUGGUUGUGACAAAAAGUCUUGAUUUCUUGCCUGAGUAAUCAAGAGCAACAUCUGCACUACAUGUUUUAACGUGAUGAAAAUGCCAAGAUAGCCUGGACUUCUGUCUGAACGAAUUGGCUCUUCAUUUCUUCACCAAGAGGCCGUUCUAGUUAAUGUUGCUGAGUUCUGACUCUUUCUUUGCCGUAGACCCUGAUGUCAUGUUACUCAACUGGGAAUCAGUCCUUACUCUUGAGGGACUUGAGAAACAGAAAGUUCACGUGAAGAAUUGGAAGGUUCUUUUGCAAUUCCAGGGAGGAAGGGGGUUUAGGUUUCCAGAGUCGUGGAAUUUAACUCGGCUUUGCUUGCUAAACAAGCGUGGAGUGUUAACAAUCCAGUUUCUCUUAUUGCUCAGGUACUACCCGGACUCAUCUUUUUGGUGGGCAGAAGCUCAUUCAACACCGUCCUAUUCUUGGCAUAGUAUUUUUUCAACAAGGGAGCUAUUGCUACAGGGGAGUUAUUGGCAAACUGGAUCAGGUCAUAAUGUGUCUAUUUUGAUGGAUAGGUGGAUACCUGGUAUUGUGGGCGGCCGCCCAAAUGCCUUUACUGUUUUGCCUCCUCAGGUUGAGAAGGUUAGUGACCUCAUGAGCUCAGUUGGGUACUGGAAUGUUGCUUUACUUUCUAAUAUAUUUUCUCAGUGUGAGGUAGCAGCUAAUGUAGCCAUUCCUUUAUCCAUUCCUUUAUCCUUUGCCUUAAUUGAAAACCCUUGGCUCGAACUCUAUCCUCUCCAAAUUCAUAUAACUCCCAAAAUCAAACUCCAAACCCGAAAUCACUGCCUUCGCAUUUCCUUUCUAUUCCCAUCUUCUCUUCCAGACUUUGAAGGCUUUGACAACGACGAGGCUACCGACAGCGACAAGCCCUUAUCGGUUGUAGCUCCUCCAUUCAUUCGAUACCAUGCUCCUCCUGUAUUCUGGGUUCAAAUUCUCUGGGUUCAAGGUAAAUUGCAAUUUUAGGGUUUGAAUGCAAUUCAGGCAUGUGCAAAAGCUUUUGCCAAUUCAGAUCUAUGCUUCACGAAGGUGGAUGAGAUCUCACAACUUCUUUCACUGUAGCAACCAAAGAAGAAGAUACCAGACACGUGAGGGUGACAUCAAUGUGUAAAACUAUUGCUACUUCUAAGAGUUGGAUACUCUUUUAGGGUUGGAUAAUCAUUUAGGGCAAGGAGGCGGAUUCUAAGUCGCCGUCGUGGUUCCAAUUCAUUGUGGUGAAUCAGUGCAACACAGGUAAUGAGUAGGUGGUUCCCGUUGAAGCAUUCAGACUAUUUAAGUACUUCUGUUAGUGGAGAUUUUUUUGCUAGUG